UCCAACCUCCCACCCGUGUCUAUCGUACCUUGUUGCUUCGGCGGGCCCGCCAUUCGUGGCCGCCGGGGGGCAUCUCGCCCCCGGGCCCGCGCCCGCCGGAGACACCAACACGAACACUGUCUGAAGGUUGCAGUCUGAGUCGAUUUAUUUAAUCGUUA
RNAcentral lists this unclassified non-coding RNA (158 nucleotides) under Aspergillus wentii. RNAcentral describes it as "partial miscellaneous RNA". Lineage: Eukaryota; Fungi; Ascomycota; Eurotiomycetes; Eurotiales; Aspergillaceae. The record is from RNAcentral. RNAcentral also lists the same sequence under 1 other name.